RNAcentral lists this ribosomal RNA (660 nucleotides) under uncultured bacterium. Its description in RNAcentral is "bacterial SSU rRNA". It matches the Rfam family "Bacterial small subunit ribosomal RNA", at positions 94 to 788 of the family's 1533-position model. The record is from RNAcentral.
AGUGGCGGACGGGUGAGUAACGCGUGAGAAUCUGCCUUGGGGUCGGGGACAACCACUGGAAACGGUGGCUAAUACCGGAUAAGCCGAUUGGUGAAAGAUUUAUUGCCCGAAGAGGAGCUCGCGUCUGAUUAGCUAGUUGGUGAGGUAAGAGCUCACCAAGGCAGCGAUCAGUAGCUGGUCUGAGAGGACGAUCAGCCACACUGGGACUGAGACACGGCCCAGACUCCUACGGGAGGCAGCAGUGGGGAAUUUUCCGCAAUGGGCGAAAGCCUGACGGAGCAAGACCGCGUGAGGGAGGAAGGCUCUUGGGUUGUAAACCUCUUUUCUCAGGGAAGAAGCUCUGACGGUACCUGAGGAAUCAGCCUCGGCUAACUCCGUGCCAGCAGCCGCGGUAAUACGGAGGAGGCAAGCGUUAUCCGGAAUUAUUGGGCGUAAAGCGUCCGCAGGUGGCGAUUCAAGUCUGCUGUCAAAGCACGGGGCUUAACUCCGUAAAGGCAGUGGAAACUGAAUAGCUAGAGUGCCGUAGGGGUAGAGGGAAUUCCCGGUGUAGCGGUGAAAUGCUUAGAGAUCGGGAAGAACAUCGGUGGCGAAAGCGCUCUACUGGACGGCAACUGACACUCAGGGACGAAAGCUAGGGGAGCGAAUGGGAUUAGAUACCCC